Salvelinus sp. IW2-2015 is the source of this 1245-nucleotide long non-coding RNA. RefSeq lists it as uncharacterized. The record is from RefSeq and is a predicted model, not a curated record. NCBI's taxonomy places the organism in Eukaryota, Metazoa, Chordata, Actinopteri, Salmoniformes, Salmonidae.
GGGUAGCCUUUAUUAUUAAAGAAAACGCAUAGAGAUGUGUCACACCUCACCAUAUUCAUAGACAUAUCUACAUCACACAGUGCUUAUUCACAUGCAUCUCUUUUUGUGGGUGGUUGUAAUUCUGGAACACCACACUAUAAGAAUACGAAUCUACUUAAAUAGAAGGGCCUGGAUAAGAGCGUCUGCUAAAUGACUAAAAUGUCUAAACUGUAUAAGAGUACUAUAAGAGUACCUUCUUAAAAWGUUAUGGUUGUCAAAUAAAAUCAUCUCCAAAUAUCACGUUAAAUUUUACCCCCCGUGAAAAUGUGGACCUAUAUGCAAAGCUCAUGAAAAGCAGAAGGUAUUUUAUAGCGUUUCUCUCGAAGCAUUUUACUAAACAGCAACUUAGAGUGAAAAUCCUGUGUUUCUCCCUCUUGGCUUCUUCCACACUCCUCUCCCGGCUGAUCUGAUUAUUUUUCCCUUCACGUUUUGUCCCAAUAGCAAAUUACCAAUUCUAUGAAUUGCAAAGCAGCCUCGGAGACGCUGAGGGGUAGAGAGGGGGGAGAUGCGAAGAUUGAAAGGGAUCUUUGCAAACACAAUCACGUUCUUAAAUGGAAAUGCGGGGCUUUAAACAAAUCUUACAUCUCUCCCGUUCCAGUCGCCUAAAAGUCCGCAAUCAGGCGCAUGUUCCACUCCUUCUAAAACCGAAGCUUUUUGUAAGCUUUUUCAGGCAUCACUCUUUAUUUUAAUUAUUUACCUGAAUGCUUUUUUUUUUUUAUCUCACGCGCGUGUUUAUGUUGUGACUUCUCGUCUCCCACAUGACACUGCUCUCUGUUUGUAGGCUACAGUGGGACGCGCUGUACUAUUUAUUCAUUUCAAUCCCAGGACUAGAGCACGAUUUAACGAGUUCCAAACCUUCCAUCUAACUCCGUGACGGGCUUGAAAGCAUCAAGCUUGGGAUGCCUAAGCCCCUUCUCAGCUCCUGUCUACCUGUCUGCUGGGGUGUUGGUGCCUGGGAUUCAACCAUCAGCCCUAACCUGUGUGGCUUCCUGUCCGUCCACAGAGGGACCCAAUCCUCUACUUUGAAUUCAAGGGGCCUGAAGACAACACAGCCUCACGCAGGCUCAGCAACACGCAGGUUAUGACCCCAACAGGACAUACCACGCCACCCGGCCGGGCUGAGUUGUUGCGCACUACAUGUGCGUGUGUGUGUAAGCCACAGGAGGUUGGUGGCACCUUAAUUGGGGAGGAUGGGCUCGUGAUAAG